RNAcentral lists this unclassified non-coding RNA (345 nucleotides) under soil metagenome. RNAcentral's name for it is "partial contains 5.8S ribosomal RNA, internal transcribed spacer 2, and large subunit ribosomal RNA". The stretch from base 1 to 119 matches the Rfam family "5.8S ribosomal RNA", at positions 35 to 154 of the family's 154-position model. The record is from RNAcentral.
GAUGAAGAACGUAGCGAAAUACGAUACGUAAUGUGAAUUGCAAAUUCAGUGAAUCAUCGAGUCUUUGAACGCACAUUGCGCCCCCUGGUAUUCCGGGGGGCAUGCCUGUCCGAGCGUCAUUGCUGCCCUCAAGCACGGCUUGUGUGUUGGGCCCCGUCCUCCGAUCCCGGGGGACGGGCCCGAAAGGCAGCGGCGGCACCGCGUCCGGUCCUCGAGCGUAUGGGGCUUUGUCACCCGCUCUGUAGGCCCGGCCGGCGCUUGCCGAUCAACCCAAAUUUUUAUCCAGGUUGACCUCGGAUCAGGUAGGGAUACCCGCUGAACUUAAGCAUAUCAAUAAGCGGAGGA